GAUGAACGCUGGCGGCGUGCUUAACACAUGCAAGUCGAGCGAGUGAGUUCUUCGGAACAAUCUAGCGGCGGACGGGUGAGUAACACGUGGGCAACCUGCCUCAUAGAGGGGAAUAGCCUCCCGAAAGGGAGAUUAAUACCGCAUAAAAUUAUCGAGUGGCAUCACAUGAUAAUCAAAGGAGUAAUCCGCUAUGAGAUGGGCCCGCGGCGCAUUAGCUAGUUGGUGAGGUAACGGCUCACCAAGGCGACGAUGCGUAGCCGACCUGAGAGGGUGAUCGGCCACAUUGGGACUGAGACACGGCCCAGACUCCUACGGGAGGCAGCAGUGGGGAAUAUUGCACAAUGGGGGAAACCCUGAUGCAGCAACGCCGCGUGAGUGAUGAAGGUCUUCGGAUUGUAAAGCUCUGUCUUUGGGGACGAUAAUGACGGUACCCAAGGAGGAAGCCACGGCUAACUACGUGCCAGCCGCCGCCGAUA
RNAcentral lists this ribosomal RNA (476 nucleotides) under uncultured bacterium. RNAcentral describes it as "partial 16S ribosomal RNA". It matches the Rfam family "Bacterial small subunit ribosomal RNA", at positions 28 to 523 of the family's 1533-position model. The record is from RNAcentral.